RNAcentral lists this ribosomal RNA (390 nucleotides) under Kodamaea ohmeri. RNAcentral's name for it is "eukaryotic LSU rRNA". The stretch from base 98 to 249 matches the Rfam family "5.8S ribosomal RNA". Lineage: Eukaryota; Fungi; Ascomycota; Pichiomycetes; Serinales; Debaryomycetaceae. The record is from RNAcentral.
UGCCUGCGGAAGGAUCAUUAACAUUAAUUUACUACACACUGUUUUUUUACAACAAAAAAAAUCUAUCUAAAAACAAUUCUUUACAAGAAAUUCUUAAAACUUUCAACAACGGAUCUCUUGGUUCUCGCAUCGAUGAAGAACGCAGCGAAAUGCGAUACGUAAUACGAAUCGCAGCUCUCGGAAUCAUCGAAUCUUUGAACGCACAUUGCACCAUUGGGUAUUCCCAAUGGUAUGCUUGUUUGAGCGAAUACUUCCCUAAUCCUCACGGAUUGUAUUGUGUUUGCACGAAAAUAAUGACGACAGUACUCUACAAAACGGUACCGUCAGUACACUCAUUUUUUUUCCUCAAAUCAAGUAGGACUACCCGCUGAACUUAAGCAUAUCAUAGGC